AAAAAGGCAAAUACUAGGUUUUCGUAUCCAACGUUUGACUAUCCGUCUUAUAUAAAAUUUUUUUAUAAUUAGUAUUUUCAUUGUUGUUAGAUGAUAAAACAUGAUUAAUACUUUAUGCGUGACUUGUCUUUUUAAUUUUUUUCAUAAUUUUUUUUAAAUAAUACGGACGGUCAAACGUUGGAUACGGAAACCUAGGUGUGGAGAUUAUA
Non-coding RNA from Oryza glumipatula, 209 nucleotides. The record is from Rfam. NCBI's taxonomy places the organism in Eukaryota, Viridiplantae, Streptophyta, Magnoliopsida, Poales, Poaceae.